GACGAACGCUGGCGGCGUGCUUAACACAUGCAAGUCGAACGGAAAGGCCCUGCUUUUGUGGGGUGCUCGAGUGGCGAACGGGUGUGUAACACGUGAGUAACCUGCCCUUGACUUUGGGAUAACUUCAGGAAACUGGGGCUAAUACCGGAUAGGAGCUCCUGCUGCAUGGUGGGGGUUGGAAAGUUUCGGCGGUUGGGGAUGGACUCGCGGCUUAUCAGCUUGUUGGUGGGGUAGUGGCUUACCAAGGCUUUGACGGGUAGCCGGCCUGUGAGGGUGACCGGCCACAUUGGGACUGAGAUACGGCCCAGACUCCUACGGGAGGCAGCAGUGGGGAAUAUUGCACAAUGGGCGGAAGCCUGAUGCAGCAACGCCGCGUGCGGGAUGACGGCCUUCGGGUUGUAAACCGCUUUCGCCUGUGACGAAGCGUGAGUGACGGUAAUGGGUAAAGAAGCACCGGCUAACUACGUG
Molecule: ribosomal RNA, 468 nt
Filed under: uncultured bacterium
Lineage: Bacteria
Description: partial 16S ribosomal RNA
Rfam family: Bacterial small subunit ribosomal RNA
Source: RNAcentral